This is a small nuclear RNA of Loxodonta africana (African savanna elephant), 107 nucleotides long. The record is from Ensembl. Lineage: Eukaryota; Metazoa; Chordata; Mammalia; Proboscidea; Elephantidae.
GUGCUCAAGCUGGCAGCACAUAUACUAAAAAUGUAACGAUACAGAGAAGAUUAGCACAGCCCCUGAGCGGGGAUGACAUGAAAAGCCAUGAAGCGUUCCAUAUUUUU